This 2419-nucleotide long non-coding RNA is filed under the name Mus musculus (house mouse). RNAcentral's name for it is "long non-coding RNA chrX:61187018-61189437". Lineage: Eukaryota; Metazoa; Chordata; Mammalia; Rodentia; Muridae. The record is from RNAcentral.
ACUCAUAAUUUAACCUGUCACUGUCAGAAUCUUAUUUUAUUAGACUCAUCCUUCAACAAGCUACUACUGUUUCAUCCCUUGCUCAUGUAUAUGAAAGUUGGUUCAAGUAUUUCCUAAUACUAGGUUUGAGAGUAAGGAGACUGUGAAGUACUGAGUUCAAAUACAUCUCAUUUUAGAAUCACAGUCACAACUUCAUGCUUUGAAUUUUAAUGCUUGCACAUUUAACUUUCCCUUUCAUUUUAAUACCUUGUCAAUCACCAUUCUCUAGUUAUUAUCUAGAUCACUUACUAUUAGUUUGUUUUGACCUCCAGGAUAUUCCUGUUUCUCCAAAUAUCACUGAUUCCCUGAGUUCCUGACUACUGCCUUGUAUCCGCCUAAUGGUAACUACAACUUAAAUCCCAGGAUGGUGAGCUAGAGAGCUAGCUCUUUUUGGUUCUGUAAGUCUCAGCUCUCCUCAGGCAUUUCUAGCAAUGUGGCUGCUAAAGACUCUGGCUGGUAUGAAAAAAAUAAAAGCCAUAUACUAAAUUUAUAGUUAUACAAGUAGUAUCUGAAGAUUUGCAGUCAUCUGUGUGAUAAUAAAAAGUAACAACAAUAACAAAUGAAAUAGCAGUAACUUUUGAAAUAGAGUUGACAAAGUAUUAUCACUUCAUUUAUUCAUCCAUUCAUUUAAUAAAAUUUAUUGAGCACCAGAUUUGUGCCAGGCAUUUUUAAUGGAGCUUACAAUUAAUUGGGGAUUCAUAUAAAGUACAGAUAAUUAUCAGUUGUGGUAAGGGCAUAUAGAAAAAGUAAACAGAAGAUGCUGUGAGAGUUUUCAAAGUCACACAGAACAUUCCUAUAGAAGUAAAGUUCACGGAUACUGAAGAAGCUUUAUUUGGUUGUUACAAUAAGCUUGUGAUGUAGAGAAGUUUUAUAUCCAUUUUGCAUAAUAAGGGGAAUAGCUAUGGCAUUGAGGUAUUGUUUGAGCUUCUUUUACCUUCAUUAGUCCAUUCUUCCUUAAUCAGGAACAUAGGGAAUUUUAACAUUUAUCCAAAGCAUUUAUCCAAAUUUGGUUGGAUAUGAUUAAUGCAAGCUGGGUGUGGUAAUACAUACCUAUAAUCUCAGUAUUCUAUGGUCUAAAGCAGACAGAUUAAGAAUUCAAGAAUCCAAGGCCAGAUUGGCUUACCUAACAAGAUUUUUUUUUUGGCUUUGAGACAGGAUUUCUCUGUAGAGCCCUGGCUGUCCUGGAACUCACUUUGUAGACCAGGCUGGCCUUGAACUCAGAAAUCCACCUGUCUCUGCCUUCCAAGUGCUGGGAUUAUAGGCGUGCACCACCACCACCCGGCACAAGAUCUUUUUUCAAGGAAAGCCAGAUAAUUUUCAUAAGUCAGUGAUGGCCAGGUGGUUAGAUGCAUUGGACUCCGAAAAAAGUAGAUAAUUCAUAUGUAAUGAUGGUCCUCAUAUUUAAUGGAUAUUAUAAAAAUGGGAAAAACUCAUUAGAUUGUGUGUGUGCACGCGUGCACGCGCAUAUAUGUGCAGUUACACUAUUGUUUGUGAGUGCACAUACACAUGUGUAUACCUGUGGAAAUUAGAGAUGACUUUGAAUCUCAUUUUUCAGAAGCCAUCUGCUUUAAUUUUGUUUCUUUGUUUUGAUCCAACAUCUCUCAUUGGUCUAGAGUUUUUUAAUUAUGUGUUCAUAUGUCUUUGUCUCACCAGUGCUGGAAUUUUAAGGGCACACCACUAGAUCUAGCCAUUUAAAAUUAUAACCAUGUUUGUAAGACAUGUACAUUAUUGGCUGAGUUAUCUCCCUGGUCACUGGCUCUAGCUUUAAGGGAAAAGAAUAAGUAAACAUGUUGAUUAUAUAUAAUAUUUGUCAUUAAAAUAUUUAUGGUUUGUGAAUUAGGUAAUUCUAAUUCUAGUUUUAAAAUCAGCUUAAUGAUAUAAAGUGUGGCUGCAGCUCUUCUUAAAUAUAUGAUCAGAGACAAAUGACCAUUAGAAAAUAUGAUAUGGUUAUCAUAGUAUAAGAAGUAUAUGUGAUUCUUUUUUUAUAUUUUUUCUGUUUCCCCCAAAGUUCUUACCAUCCAAAUAAACCUUAUAUUGAAGAAAAACAUUUAAACAGUUGUAUUCAAAGUUUAUUACUUACUUAAAUAUUAAAAAUAUAUGUAACUAAGUAUUAUUGCAAAAUUUCAAAAUAUAAAGAAACAAAGUAAAAAAAAAGUAUAUCCUCAAAUUAUCGAAAUCUCACAGAAAAUCUUUAUAAAGAUUUUGGUGUAUAUUCUUCCAUAAUUUUCAGUGUUUAUGUAUUUUUCCAGAAUGAAAUGAUUUGACCACUCUGCAAUCUAUUUUUUGAAUUAAUGGAAGUUGUAAAUUUUCACAACAGUAAACUGUGUUAUGACUUCAAAAUGUGUUAUGACUUCAAUAAAUGAUAUAUUUAUUUUGUCUC